This 154-nucleotide ribosomal RNA is filed under the name Bacillus thuringiensis serovar monterrey. Its description in RNAcentral is "partial 16S ribosomal RNA". It matches the Rfam family "Bacterial small subunit ribosomal RNA", at positions 1 to 147 of the family's 1533-position model. The record is from RNAcentral. Lineage: Bacteria; Bacillati; Bacillota; Bacilli; Caryophanales; Bacillaceae.
CUUUAUUGGAGAGUUUGAUCCUGGCUCAGGAUGAACGCUGGCGGCGUGCCUAAUACAUGCAAGUCGAGCGAACUUCAUAAGAGCUUGCUCUUAUGAAGUUAGCGGCGGACGGGUGAGUAACACGUGGGUAACCUGCCCAUAAGACUGGGAUAAC